This 214-nucleotide long non-coding RNA is filed under the name Malus domestica (apple). RNAcentral describes it as "long non-coding RNA (MDOM_LNC008501)". Lineage: Eukaryota; Viridiplantae; Streptophyta; Magnoliopsida; Rosales; Rosaceae. The record is from RNAcentral.
CCUCCUUAGAUUUGAUCCAAGGAAAAGUAACACUUUAGAUGAGUUUCCUUGAAAGAUAUCAAGGAAAUAAGCAUCAUAAGAUAAUAGAUUUCUCCAUAAGGAGAAGAACGAACUUAAAUAAGAUUUAGUUCGUUGGAUAUUAUCAAUUACCCAUAUAUAGGAUAUAUACUUCUAAAACAAUAUGAUUGUCAAUUAGAAGAUCUUCCAAAAUUUU